AGGCGCGUAGCUCAGCUGGUUAGAGCACCACCUUGACAUGGUGGGGGUCGGCGGUUCGAUUCCGUUCGCGCCUACCA
RNAcentral lists this transfer RNA (77 nucleotides) under Thiolapillus brandeum. RNAcentral's name for it is "tRNA-Val". It matches the Rfam family "tRNA". From Rfam's summary of the family: Transfer RNA (tRNA) molecules are approximately 80 nucleotides in length. Their secondary structure includes four short double-helical elements and three loops (D, anti-codon, and T loops). The record is from RNAcentral. Lineage: Bacteria; Pseudomonadati; Pseudomonadota; Gammaproteobacteria; Chromatiales; Sedimenticolaceae. RNAcentral also lists the same sequence under 2 other names.